RNAcentral lists this ribosomal RNA (1018 nucleotides) under uncultured bacterium. Its description in RNAcentral is "bacterial SSU rRNA". It matches the Rfam family "Bacterial small subunit ribosomal RNA", at positions 357 to 1376 of the family's 1533-position model. The record is from RNAcentral.
AGGAAUAUUGGUCAAUGGGCGCGAGCCUGAACCAGCCAAGUAGCGUGAAGGAUGAAGGUCCUACGGAUUGUAAACUUCUUUUAUACGGGAAUAAAGUGGUCCACGUGUGGAUUUUUGCAUGUACCGUAUGAAUAAGCAUCGGCUAACUCCGUGCCAGCAGCCGCGGUAAUACGGAGGAUGCGAGCGUUAUCCGGAUUUAUUGGGUUUAAAGGGAGCGCAGGCCGUCCUUUAAGCGUGCUGUGAAAUGCCGCGGCUCAACCGUGGCACUGCAGCGCGAACUGGAGGACUUGAGUACGCACGAGGUAGGCGGAAUUCGUGGUGUAGCGGUGAAAUGCUUAGAUAUCACGAAGAACUCCGAUUGCGAAGGCAGCUUACCGGAGCGCAACUGACGCUGAGGCUCGAAAGCGCGGGUAUCGAACAGGAUUAGAUACCCUGGUAGUCCGCGCGGUAAACGAUGGAUGCCCGCCGUUGGGAUUUAGAUUUCAGCGGCCAAGCGAAAGCGUUAAGCAUCCCACCUGGGGAGUACGCCGGCAACGGUGAAACUCAAAGGAAUUGACGGGGGCCCGCACAAGCGGAGGAACAUGUGGUUUAAUUCGAUGAUACGCGAGGAACCUUACCCGGGCUUGAAUUGCAGGAGAACGAUCCAGAGAUGGUGAGGCCCUUCGGGGCUCCUGUGAAGGUGCUGCAUGGUUGUCGUCAGCUCGUGCCGUGAGGUGUCGGCUCAAGUGCCAUAACGAGCGCAACCCCUGUCCAUAGUUGCCAUCAGGUCGUGCUGGGCACUCUGUGGAGACUGCCGCCGUAAGGUGUGAGGAAGGUGGGGAUGACGUCAAAUCAGCACGGCCCUUACGUCCGGGGCUACACACGUGUUACAAUGGGGGGUACAGAAGGCAGCUACACGGCGACGUGAUGCUAAUCCCGAAAGCCUCUCUCAGUUCGGAUUGGAGUCUGCAACCCGACUCCAUGAAGCUGGAUUCGCUAGUAAUCGCGCAUCAGCCAUGGCGCGGUGAAUACGUUCCCG